GCUGGGUGUGGUGGUGCACACCUGUAGUCCCAGCUACUGGGAAGGCUGAGGCGGGAGGAUGGUUUGAGCCCAGGAGAGGUCGAGGCUACAGUGAGCUGAAACUGUGUCACUGCAUUCCAGCCUGGGCAACACAGCCAGACCCUGCUUCCA
Unclassified non-coding RNA from Papio anubis (olive baboon), 150 nucleotides. It matches the Rfam family "Metazoan signal recognition particle RNA". Rfam says of the family: The signal recognition particle (SRP) is a universally conserved ribonucleoprotein. It is involved in the co-translational targeting of proteins to membranes. The eukaryotic SRP consists of a 300-nucleotide 7S RNA and six proteins: SRPs 72, 68, 54, 19, 14, and 9. NCBI's taxonomy places the organism in Eukaryota, Metazoa, Chordata, Mammalia, Primates, Cercopithecidae. The record is from Ensembl.